Long non-coding RNA from Anguilla rostrata (American eel), 4181 nucleotides. RefSeq lists it as uncharacterized. The transcript is spliced from 4 exons. The record is from RefSeq and is a predicted model, not a curated record. NCBI's taxonomy places the organism in Eukaryota, Metazoa, Chordata, Actinopteri, Anguilliformes, Anguillidae.
UAAUUUUGCCGAUUGUUUGUUUAUUGUGCGUAAUAAUAAACAGAUAUUUUCUAUUAUAUGCAAACGGUAUUUGGAACUGUACCCUCUUGUGGUGUGCAUGAGAAAAAGCAUGCAAAUAGGUCAAGUUCUUUACCACCGCAGGAGUAGCUAUAUUCUUUCGAGAUGUAGAAUCGGCAAAAUAACCCAAUUGGUCAUGUUUACUAGGACUUUUAAGACUGAUCUUAAUUCGAAUCGAGGCACGGACCUGUUGGUAGCAGUGUGAGAUAUGGCAGAACAGUUAAGGCCAUUUAACUCAACUGCCCCCUCGUGUGUCUCUUAGCCCUGCUGGCUCCUACGACUUGUGCUCCAGACUGAAAUGACUUUAAACUGUGCUGUGGCCCCUGGGUCUUGGAGCUUCAUGAAACACAGCAGGUGCCAGCCAGUCACUCCAUCUCAUUCAGAAUACUGCUGCUCAGCUCAUCUACAAUCAGCAAAACAACACAAAUCCCCCUCUCCUCAUCUCCCUUCACUGGCUAGCAAGUCUGGACCAAAUAAAAUACAAAUCUCUAGUCUUGCUUAUAAAAAUGUUCUUGGAUUUGAACUUAGAAAGAUAUUUCACUUUUGUAUAACACAAGUAUUUUUGUGGAGCUCACCCCAUUGUAUUUGCAUAUCAUGAAUAUUAGCAACAUGAAAUGUCCCUGUUGACCAUUUUCCAGCUUGCAGUUCAUUCCGCUUCAUUUUUGUGACCUCGCCGAAAUUAAUCAUUUUAAAACACAAUCUCUGGAGGAUAACAGGUUGAUAAAAUGAGUAUUAACGUCAAACGGUCCAAGGUUUUUUGAACUGAUUUUCAGGUUUUUUUUUUUUUCAAACUGUUUUCAGGCUUAGGUUAGCUAUAAACAGAGAAACAAUUUUCAGAUUGGCCACUGCUUAGAAAUACAACAAACCAUAGUUAGAUGCACGUGCCCAUGUAAAUAUGUUAUUGUGCUCAAGGAUACAGUGAAAGUAACAAAACUUUUCCUGGAUCUUGUUUUUCUUUUAUGUGGCAAUUUCGGUGAGGCCCUGAAAAUGAAUGGGAGGGAACAGGGAACCGGAAAACCGGGAGGAAUGGGGCUGCCGUUAACAGUCAACAGGGACCUCUGAUGUUGCUAGUAUUCACACUACACAAAUAAAAUGACUUGUGUUAUACCAAAGUUAAAUAUCACUUCAAACAUAAUUUCACACCACAGUCGCAAGCCAGGCAUGUGAAGACCAGGGGCUGAGGAGACCCAUUCAUACACGUGCACAGAGAGUUAGCUACAGACGCCUGGAUGGCCUGGAGCAAUGAACAAUGCUAUUUUUACCAUCUGUACCCCUCCCAUAUCCCUAAGUGACACGAAGCCAAUUAUGUACCACCCCUGUGGGGCUGCCAGCCACAGUUUGCAGUGGCACGGGUCGGAUUCAAUCUGAGACUGUGGUGCUCACUCCUGCGCUACAAGCAGUACUUUUAUUGAGCGAGCUACCCAGCUAGUGAGUAACUAAUGGUUUUCAGUGUAAGCCACUAUUUUGGAUACAAUUUUAUUUCAAGACCAAUUAAAAAAUGAGGACACUCUUCUAUUGUACAUCAAGAGGAACAGCACCUUUUUACCUGCAAACCUUAUGCCUUAUACUCCUGCCAGCCCUCUCUGCUACACAUUCCCUGACUGACUUACUGUCCCCCUUCCUAAAGGGGCCCUCUUGUCAAUCAAGUCUCUAUUCUGGCCAAAAUUUUUAAUGAUAUUCCCUAACCAAUUUUUUUCCUAAUAAUACAACAUUCUCUGUUUCCCUCUUGUACCUCCUAUGGCAUCUGGUAUCUAAUUUAUGUUGAAAGAUUAUGUAUUGACAAUUACUAUUUUUUGUCAUAGCUUAGGAUCAGCACUGUUCUUGCCUAAACCCAAAUGUAUGCACUUAUAUACAGUAAGUUGCUCUGGAUAACGUAGUGCAUACAUACAUUAGUGCAGUGGUUCCCAACCAUAUUCCUGUCAUCUGCUGUCCUGUUGCUUUUCACUUCAACCCUAACAAAGGACACCUUAUUUAACUGCUAGGGAUCUCAAUGAGCUGCUAGUCUGUAGAAUCAGAUGUGCCAAAUUAGGAUUGAAAUGAAAACAUCACAUACAGGACAAUGACUCACCAGGAACAUGGUUGGGAACCACUGCAUUAGUACAUGAACAUCCGCCACAGAAUGUGACGUCAACUCUUGAGAAGCAAUGAGCUUGAUUAAUUCCCUUAGCUGGAGACCAUCUUUAUCUUGAAGAUCAAAACAUAACUCUUCUAGAGCACCACGGCCAUAGUUUGAAAUUCGCCACAGACUAACCCCUGUUACAAUGGUGACUAAGAUAAUAUGACUGAUGCCUAUCAGUUGGCUAAGGUUGCUGCAGGACUUUUGAGGGGGGUGAAUGUGGAGUUCAGAGACGUGAGGUAGCAUGUGAACAUCUGCUAUAGGCCACCCCUGGAGAGACAAUAAGAGUAUGAUUAAUUCCCUCAGCUGGGGAUCAUUGAUCAUUUACUCAGCAUGCUAAUUGUACUCAACAUGCUAACUGUUCAGCCACAAUUCAAAACUUAUAACAGAUCUACUCUCCAGUGAAUAUGCAUCACUAACUGCCCUGUUUUUACUUUAAGUACUGUGAAAGUAGCCAAAGCUCUCUUAUUAAUUAUUAAUUUAUACAGAGAGCAGCAACAAGGAUAGGCUUUUGCCUUUAAUUUCUAACUCAGGAGAGGCCAACUGAGAGCUCAGCAGCCACCCUGUUUUUGGGAGUUGAAAACUCCAAGCACAGAGGCUUCAACAUUUGGGCAACUUGCAGAGUUCUACCAUACACACUUGUCUAGGGAAUGUAUUAUGUUGUGUUUACAUUGUGUUUUUGACUGUCUGCAUGUGUAGCUAGGAACAGUGCAGGAAAGUGUAGAUGAGAUGAAAAAGAUAAAAAAUAUGUUAUUUCCAAUUGCAAAUUCCUGGAACUUGUUGCUGGGGCUGUUCCCUCUACCCCUUGUCUGGGAUCAUCCUCUUCCUCCCCCAAUGACAUCAGUGGACAUUGUUGAUCAGAUUUAGAUGUAGCCACGCUAGGCACAUGUGUUUGUUUACUUGUGGGUGAUGUUUUGGGAAGAGCUGAGGAGGGAGGUGCUGUGUUGAGGCGGUCCUGUGGUUUUUUUCAAUAUGGAUUUCAUGACUUGAAAUGUGUGUUAUUAUAGUUAUUGACAUAAUUUUGAAUAGAUAUUUGGUGAAAGUGUGAUCAUUCAUGGUUUUUAACUAUUUUCAGCCCCUUUACAAUCACUUCAGUCAAAUUUUUCAGGGUGCAUGUGUUGCGGUUGUGUGCCAAUAUACCUUCAUAAUACACAACUAGUUUUGUGCAAGAUACAGUAUGAACAUAUUUUAUGUGUACUACUUAUUUUAAAAUCAUCUGUCUGCAAAGUUGGGUGAAAAGUUUAUGGACACAAAUCUGUAAUUUGAGAGAGCAAUGUUGCAGUUCGCCUGUAUGUAAUUCCCUGCAGUCCCUAAAUCACUCAAGCAAGAUAAUAAACCUUCCAUACUGAAGUCUCCCCUGUAAAACUGCUCAGGCUCUAUGUGCUGGACAGCCAGCAACGAGUGGGACCCUGGAGCCCUCUGAUUAUCUCCAGUUCCGUUUCCCCCCUUCCCUUUUGCCCUAAUCAUUCCCCCAGAGCCCCAUUGGUGGUCCCCGAAUGUGAACCUGAGAGCCCCAGCGCUAGCAGGUCGGCCUGGGGUGAAGUCGGCGGCCUCCCUCCCGGGGCACAUCAGUCAUCUCCGACAGGAAUGUCCCAGGACGCCGCUCUGCAGGCCUUCCUUCCCUUCCACCCCCACCCACGGUCACCUUCAACGAGCCCCUUCUCGACUUACAGGGCGUCUGUUGUGGAAACCUUCCAAAACCUGCUCUGUGGCGGCCCAGAAUGACAAUUGCGAGCAAUGCGUUUGUGACCAGAUUUCGACAAAAACAUGUCUGAUAUUGCAUGGACAAGCCAAAGCUCAUGCCCUUGUGAGAGGUUAUGUCAAGUGUUUAAAUGUAUAAAGGUUUCUAAAUGAACACACAUGCAGGUUGUAUUUUCAUCAGCAAAUGCAGGAAGCAUGCAGGUCUGGGUCUGUGUGUAGGAGGCAGGAAUGCUGAAUUGUUCACUGCCAGAUUCCAUAUGCUGUUGUAUAAAUAAUUCACGGUUAAAUAAAACGUUUUACUUUUCAA